RNAcentral lists this ribosomal RNA (322 nucleotides) under uncultured bacterium. Its description in RNAcentral is "bacterial SSU rRNA". It matches the Rfam family "Bacterial small subunit ribosomal RNA", at positions 28 to 350 of the family's 1533-position model. The record is from RNAcentral.
GAUGAACGCUGGCGGCGUGCUUAACACAUGCAAGUCGAACGUGAAGAGGUAGCAAUACUUCGGAAAGUGGCGAACGGGUGAGUAACACGUGGGUGACCUGCCUCGGAGUGGGGGAUAACCAUGGGAAACUGUGGCUAAUACCGCAUGGGUCGAUGGCUAUGGGAAGGACCAUCGAUAAAGCUUUAGUGCUUCGAGAGGGGCCUGCGUCCGAUUAGGUAGUUGGUGAGGUAANGGCUCACCAAGCCGAUGAUCGGUAGCUGGUCUGAGAGGACGAUCAGCCACACGGGAACUGAGAGACGGUCCCGACUCCGUACGGGGGGCA